UUAAUAUAACAACGAAGGUACUGCGCCCAUGGUCGAGAAUUUAAUUUUCGGCGGCGUGCACUGUGGGCCUCGCAGUGCACAGUGACGUUGCUUGACGAUCUAUGUUUUAAGCUAUACUUGUUGCUUUGUAACUUGUUGUGCCCAAGACAUGGAGACUCGGGUGACGAUGAGGCAUUGCUGUGGAGGAUGAACCUGUUGCUAUGGAGAACGAAGAAGGUGCUGCAUUGGUUGAUGAAAAUCUUCCAACGACGUGGUAUUGUGGGUCUCGCAAUGCCAUAUGUCAUGUUGCUUGACGAUCUAUGUUCGAAGCUUUACAUGUUGCUUUUGCGACUUGUUCUGCCUAAAACAUGGUGAAUCGGGUGACGAAGAGACCUUGAUGCGGAGGAGGACGUUGCUGCGGAGGCGGAUGAAGGUGAUGCUGCGUUGGUUGAUGAAAGUCAUCCAACGACGUGGUAUUGUGGGCCUCGCAAUGCCAUAUGUCAUGUUGCUCUGAAUGUCUCGCUUUGAAGCUGUACUUGUUUGUUGUGCUUCAUUUCGGUGAUCUCGUGCAACGAUGAGGCAUGGUUGCUUACCUUUGUUAUUCUUCUCGCAUCGUUCGGUGCAUUUUGGGGGCAUUUCGGCAUUUUGUUGUUUCCCUUGGCUUUUAGCUAGGGUGGUGGCAAAGUGUUGGUUGUCUUCGGGGAUGUCUACCGUAAAGGUGCAUGAGUGGUAUUUGGUUUGUUACGGGUGGUUGGCUCUUGCUUGCGCAACAACUUCCANCUGGCUUACCUCUUCAGUUGCUUGCCAAUGCUUUUAAAGUAUUGGUUGGAUUGUGGGUUUCAUGUGUUGCCUACCGAAUUGAUGGUAUUGUAUUCUGAAAGAAUUCUGUUUUUUCAUCUUGCGUCGCAAAUGCGUUGUGUGAUGAACCUUGAAGCAUUCUUUAUGAUCCACUAUUUUAAUUCUUAGGUGUUAAUUGUGUGGCUCAUUUUGAGUUGCUUGGUAUCUUGGAUAUGGAACCUAAUGUGGGCAUGGGAUGUUUAUAUAUCCCUUGGUUGCCCUG
RNAcentral lists this unclassified non-coding RNA (1039 nucleotides) under Phagnalon abyssinicum. RNAcentral describes it as "partial external transcribed spacer". Lineage: Eukaryota; Viridiplantae; Streptophyta; Magnoliopsida; Asterales; Asteraceae. The record is from RNAcentral.